This 219-nucleotide unclassified non-coding RNA is filed under the name Hevea brasiliensis (rubber tree). Lineage: Eukaryota; Viridiplantae; Streptophyta; Magnoliopsida; Malpighiales; Euphorbiaceae. The record is from RNAcentral.
CUCCCAGAAAACUAAAAACUUAAUGCGUGGGGUUUAGGGAUAAUUAGGUGAAUUAGCAUAUAAAUUUGCUUUUUGGCAGCCCAAAUGGGUAUCCGUCAAAAGGGUAAAAUAUCCAAUGCAAUGAGAGUGGAGAAAAAAGGCAUUAGGAGGUGAAAAAGGACAGCAGCAAUUAGACCCAGAAGCAGAGACGCUCAUGUGAGGCUGACUGCAUGUUAAGGG